This 254-nucleotide ribosomal RNA is filed under the name uncultured bacterium. RNAcentral's name for it is "partial 16S ribosomal RNA". It matches the Rfam family "Bacterial small subunit ribosomal RNA", at positions 524 to 777 of the family's 1533-position model. The record is from RNAcentral.
UACGUAGGGUGCGAGCGUUAAUCGGAAUUACUGGGCGUAAAGCGUGCGCAGGCGGUGAGCUGUGUCCGAUGUGAAAGCCCCGGGCUUAACCUGGGAAUGGCAUUGGAAACUGGCUCGCUGGAGUGUGGCAGAGGGGGGUGGAAUUCCGCGUGUAGCAGUGAAAUGCGUAGAGAUCCGGAAGAACACCGGUGGCGAAGGCGGCCUGCUGGGCUAUGGCUGACACUGAGGCGCGACAGCGUGGGGAGCAAACAGGG